Molecule: ribosomal RNA, 427 nt
Filed under: uncultured bacterium
Lineage: Bacteria
Description: bacterial SSU rRNA
Rfam family: Bacterial small subunit ribosomal RNA
Source: RNAcentral
UAGGGAAUAUUGGACAAUGGGGGCAACCCUGAUCCAGCCAUGCCGCGUGAGUGAAGAAGGCCCUCGGGUUGUAAAGCUCUUUUGUCCGGAAAGAAAAGCUUCGGGUUAAUACCCCGGGGUUCUGACGGUACCGGAAGAAUAAGCACCGGCUAACUUCGUGCCAGCAGCCGCGGUAAUACGAAGGGUGCAAGCGUUACUCGGAAUUACUGGGCGUAAAGCAUGCGUAGGUGGUUGUUUAAGUCUGAUGUGAAAGCCCUGGGCUCAACCUGGGAAUGGCAUUGGAAACUGGGCAGCUAGAGUGCGGUAGAGGGUAGUGGAAUUCCCGGUGUAGCAGUGAAAUGCGUAGAGAUCGGGAGGAACAGCUGUGGCGAAGGCGACUGCCUGGACCAGCACUGACACUGAGGCACGAAAGCGUGGGGAGCAAACA